UCCAGAGAAGCCGAGGUGAGAAGCAUUGAUUUAAGAGAUGCCAAGUAACUCAGCGGAUGUCACACAGAUGAUAAAGAGCAAGGAUAGACCUCUUCAUUUCAUGUUUGAGGCAAUUCUCUAAGACAGCUGAUUUCUCCAGAGCUGGUAGGUAAGUAUCUACCUCCCAGAAUGCAAUGUGUCCAGAGAUUAUAAUAAGUGAAAUAUUGGAUUGCCAAUAUUCUUUUCUCUUGUCCUUCUACGCUUGGAUUCUUUUUUUAAGUUUAUUCCCCACUGUAGGAGACAGACUUGCUCACGUGAUAGAUCCGGCCAUGAUAUUGUCCCUAAGAGAACGAGAUGCUCUUUGCAGAAGACAUAGAAGAUUCCUGAAACUGGGAAAGGGGCCUAGAAACCUGGAGAAGAGUGAAGAAGGCAUUUUCCCUCCCCUGCUUAGGCAUCUGCCACCAUAUUCAAUACUUUCUCCAGGGUUCUCAGGUUUCCCAUUGGCUUGGAAUUUGUCAAUUAGUUUUGCUGGCUGGACAGAAAGCCACACGGAUCCUCUU
RNAcentral lists this long non-coding RNA (539 nucleotides) under Rattus norvegicus (Norway rat). RNAcentral describes it as "partial Pvt1". The record is from RNAcentral. Lineage: Eukaryota; Metazoa; Chordata; Mammalia; Rodentia; Muridae.